RNAcentral lists this small nucleolar RNA (81 nucleotides) under Carlito syrichta (Philippine tarsier). RNAcentral describes it as "Small nucleolar RNA SNORD115 (ENSTSYG00000027323.1)". It matches the Rfam family "Small nucleolar RNA SNORD115". From Rfam's summary of the family: HBII-52 is a member of the C/D class of snoRNAs, which contain the C (UGAUGA) and D (CUGA) box motifs. HBII-52 is encoded in a tandemly repeated array with another C/D snoRNA, HBII-85, in the Prader-Willi syndrome (PWS) region of chromosome 15. Lineage: Eukaryota; Metazoa; Chordata; Mammalia; Primates; Tarsiidae. The record is from Rfam by way of RNAcentral.
GGGUCAAUGAUGAGAUCUUUACAUUGUCUGUAGAUAGAUGAUGACUUCAAAAUCAUGCUCAAUAGGAUUAGGUUGAGGCCC